This is a non-coding RNA of Panus rudis PR-1116 ss-1, 89 nucleotides long. The record is from the annotation of a GenBank genome assembly. Lineage: Eukaryota; Fungi; Basidiomycota; Agaricomycetes; Polyporales; Panaceae.
GGGCAUGUGGUGUAGUUGGUUAUCACGCUCGCUUAGCAUCCUAAACACUUGCUUGCGAGAGGGGUCCGGUUCAAUCCCGGACAUGUCCA